AGAGUUUGAUCCUGGCUCAGGAUGAACGCUGGCGGCGUGCCUAACACAUGCAAGUCGAGCGGUAUAUAUUGGAAUGAAACUUCGGUCGAGUGAAGAUAUAGAGAGCGGCGGACGGGUGAGUAACGCGUGGGCAACCUGCCCCAUACAGAGGGAUAGCCUCGGGAAACCGGGAUUAAAACCUCAUAAAGCCAUUGAUUCACAUGUUUCGAUGGCCAAAGAUUUAUCGGUAUGGGAUGGGCCUGCGUCUGAUUAGCUAGUUGGUGAGGUAACGGCCCACCAAGGCAACGAUCAGUAGCCGACCUGAGAGGGUAAUCGGCCACAUUGGAACUGAGACACGGUCCAAACUCCUACGGGAGGCAGCAGUGGGGAAUAUUGCACAAUGGGCGAAAGCCUGAUGCAGCAACGCCGCGUGAGCGAUGAAGGCCUUUGGGUCGUAAAGCUCUGUCCGAGGGGAAGAUAAUGACGGUACCCUUGGAGGAAGCCCCGGCUAACUACGUGCCAGCAGCCGCGGUAAUACGUAGGGGGCAAGCGUUAUCCGGAAUUAUUGGGCGUAAAGAGUGCGUAGGUGGUUCUUUAAGCGUGAGGUGAAAGGCAAUGGCUUAACCAUUGUAAGCCUUGCGAACUGGGGGACUUGAGUGCAGGAGAGGUAAGUGGAAUUCCUAGUGUAGCGGUGAAAUGCGUAGAUAUUAGGAGGAACACCAGUGGCGAAGGCGACUUACUGGACUGUAACUGACACUGAGGCACGAAAGCGUGGGGAUCAAACAGGAUUAGAUACCCUGGUAGUCG
Molecule: ribosomal RNA, 786 nt
Filed under: uncultured bacterium
Lineage: Bacteria
Description: bacterial SSU rRNA
Rfam family: Bacterial small subunit ribosomal RNA
Source: RNAcentral